GGGUCUCGAGCACGGAAUUGCUGAAGUUGUGAAGGUUGAUGCUGUGAAUGCGCUCGGUCAUCCCCUUGCAACUGAUGUCACCUGCAGCAUGUCAACGCAGACACAAAACAGGGCAUGGGUCAGAUCUAGCUGGUUGCAUUCCUAAUACCUAGGUUUCAGAGUAAAAAUAUAGAGUCAGCUUGUGAUGGCAUUCCCUCGAAACAUGGAAGGAAUUGCAGUAAUGAAAGUCAUCAUGUAUUCUAAGAGACUGUUCUGCGAGAGCACAACACAGACGGGGCUAAAGCAGGGAUUGUCUAAGCCCAGUGUGGAGGAAUCAUCAAGGAUUUCAGCACGUUUUUUUAGCCAUUGUGAGAAGCAAAAGUGCUCAGGAGUUAAGAGAAGCAGACGUCCGAAAUUAUCUCCAUGCAUUACCAAAAACCGUGGGCACCACGGCACGGGGAAAACUUACCAGGUACAAUGAGCCAGUGACUGUUACUGAAUUUCUUAAGAUUACACUUUUCCCAACUACUGCAGACUGCUUCAGAAUAGAAGAAGACAACUCUCAUGCCAUCAAGCCGACGGACUUUCAAAAAAAUAAAAGAUGCAUUUCUUUACUUGGCCCAUGAGAAGUAAAAGCAGGCACUGGCAUUCUGCACAGAUGAAAUACUUCCUACGACAGAAAUACAUGCUCACUUGUGGACUUCUCUGUAAUCUGUAGGCAACAUAAGCUCCUGAUUUCUAGGUCUGGAUCUGGGUUCUCUGUAGCACAGGAAGGUCUGUACUUCUCCUACAUAAAUGCCUUGCAUGGCGGGAACUAAAUCAACUACACAGACCCAUACAUCCAGAGAGCAGAGGUGAGCUGGAUACAAGUGGCUUAGAGAUGUGGUGGAAGGAGGCCAGAGCUCCAAGGGAAGGGCAGCAAGGAGACAACAGCAUGGGUUGCAGCUCAGACAACAGGUAAAUAAAACCAAGCAAAGCUGCUGGUCACAGAUUUGACCAGGGUGGCAAGAAAUGACAACCUACCAUGAGAUUCAACAGUGGCACGGAAGGAUGAUGAGAAGCAAACAGAUUAGGAGAAGCUGCCACCACCGUACAUAGAGGCACAGAUGACCAAGCAGAACAGCACCAGUCCCUGCAAGGUGUGCUCAGAUACAGCUCGGCACAGCCAUCUGGCCAGGAGGGAAUGAUAAUGCACAUGGUGUGCAUUGCAGCCGGGAAGUUGAGAACCACUGUGGGCACCUCAGGACUGAGUCUGGUUACCCUGCUGAUCCAAGAAAUGAAGCCAUCUAAAAUUUUGCCUGCUUUCACAAUUUUCUGUGUGUGUGUGUGUGUGUGUGUAUUAAACAAAGUGAACUAAGAAGCCUUUUAUUGGAGACAUAAUGUACUCACAGUAGUUUCAAAAUCAAUGGUGUCACUCUUCAGGUAAAUUACUCCAAGGCUUGGGCCUAGUGCAGAUGUUCAUUGG
RNAcentral lists this long non-coding RNA (1444 nucleotides) under Pan troglodytes (chimpanzee). Its description in RNAcentral is "long non-coding RNA NONPTRT011526". The record is from RNAcentral. Lineage: Eukaryota; Metazoa; Chordata; Mammalia; Primates; Hominidae.